Molecule: long non-coding RNA, 4118 nt
Filed under: Homo sapiens (human)
Lineage: Eukaryota; Metazoa; Chordata; Mammalia; Primates; Hominidae
Description: HSALNT0128707
Source: RNAcentral
GGAGAGCCCCUGCCCUUUCUCCCUCGGCCGCUCGGGCUCCCGAAAGUGGGGGAAGCCCUGCAGGGGUCCAGCCGGCCGCCCGCCGUCCCCCACAAGCUCCUCGGCUGGGGUGGGCCAAGCCCGCCUGCCGCGCCCCCGCACCUCCUCCAGGGAGGAGGACUGGGGGACCAGUUGCUCUCGCCGGCUCCACAAUCGUUUGGGCCGGGUAGCGACCGACUUUUGUGAGCGUCCUCUCUCUGCGGCUCUCCGCCGGCCAGGCGGGCAGAGUUCCUUUACUAGCUGUCCCUUCUUCCCAGCCUGGGCCCUUGACCCAGUCUCUCUCCGAGGAGAUGAUGAGCAGGCAACCACGCACUGACCUUCGUGGACAAACAAACCCAGCUGCCCGCCUCAGGUCCUGGUAUAACUCAAGAUAAGUGAUGCUCCUUCCCUGCAAUUCCUUUCACCACCUCCUUCAUACACUGGAGGAAAGGGAUCAUCAAGCAGAGUUAUCAGCACAGACGUGGAGACCUGGCAAUGACCUCGACUGCAGUGGAAAUUGGCCCAGCCAAGGAAUCAAUGGCCCUCAAAUCCAGGGGCUACAGGCACAAGACGGGAUUGCAUGGCCUGUCCCUUGUGAUUGGGGCUGGGCCCACAUCACUGAUCUGGUUGGCCCCCUGCACUCCUCCAGCUGCUGAUGUGAGAACAUCCAGAGGUCUCUUUCCAGCACGGCAACCGGCAACAUUCAAGAUGCAGCUGCUCCACCGUCCUGAAUCCCUGAGUGUCCCCGUGUCCGAUGGCCCUGUCAGCCCCUGAUGGAGGUGUAAUGACAGCAUAAAACAAACCUGGGUUGUUUUCAGACACUGAGAUUUGGCUAUUGCUUUGUUUUGCAGCAUAAUCUAGCCAAUCUGGCCUGGUGACUGAGCCUUUCAAAUAGUUACACCCCAGCCUUACCGUGUGUACAUUGCUGUCUGUUGUAUUUAUUAGCUGAGGCUGUUUCCUGUUACUUAGAAAAAUAGGUGAGUUGAAACUUUCUGUAUUUGUGACAGUCACUAAACUUGGAUGUUGACAUGACUAAUCUUUUUUGUUAAUACAGAUUGGGGCUUUUUAUACUAGAAGAAAGGGGCCCCUUCACCUGCUGAGAAGGGGAAACCUUUCUUCCUUACACUGGUUAAGUUGCAGCUGUCUCCUUGCUUCCUUGCAUAAUGACCUUAAGGCUGACAACACAUUUGGAAAAGGAACUCCUGGUGGUUAAUAACAGCAGUGAAUGCAAGAGGAGAGUAAAACACUGAGGAGGAACUGAUGGGAUUUUUUUUUUUCCGAGACAGAGUCCAGCUCUGUUGCCUAGGCUGGAGUUCAGUGGCAUGAUCACAGCUCACUGCAGACAGCCUUGACUCCUGGGCACAAGUGAUCCUCUCACCUCAGCCUCCCAAGUAGCUGGGAUCACAGAUGCAUGCUACCAUGCCCAGCUACUUUUUGUAUUUUUUGUAGAGACAAGGUUUCACCAUGUUGCCCAAGCUGGUCUCCAACUCCUGGACUUAAGCAAUCUGUCCACCUCGGCCUCCCAAAGUAUUGAGAUUGCAGAUGUGAGCCACCAUACCCAGCCGGAAUUGAUGGAAAUUAUUUCAAUCUAGGAUACAGAAGUCUCCCUUCUAGGGAAAUAGAUACACAACUCCUAGGCUAAGAAAGGCCUCAUUCAUUCAUUCCUCAACAAACAUUCAUUGAGCAUUUAAUAAAUGUUCUGCCCAGAUGGAGCUUAUGUCCUGGUGGGGGUGUCAGACAAUAAGCAUGAGGACAAAAGUGCAAUGAAGGAAAUAAACAGGGACUGAGACAGAAUGGCUGAGGGAAGGAGUGGACAGGGAAGGCCCUUCUGAAUAGGUGAGGCCGAUCCAUUUCAACCAAAACCUGGGGAGAAUGACGCCUUUCUUAGCCUAGGAGUUGUGUGUCUAUUUCCCUAGAAGGGAGACUUCUGUAUCCUAGAUUGACAUAAUUUCCCACGAGCACUCCAGCCAGAGAGGCAGUGGCUCAGAGGCCUGAGAGGGAAACAGCCUCGUAUAUAAAAUCAAUAGGGAGAGAAGGCGACCCAAAGCACGAGUGUAGUGCAGUGAUGCAGGGGAGAAGCGGGAGAUAAGUCAGAGUGGCACAGGCCUUUAGGCCAAAGCAAGGACUUCGGGUUACCCUGUAAGAGGAACGGGAGGCCCCUGGAGGAGAUUGAGAGGGGAAUGCUGUCAGCAGACAUUUUCUAUAAAGGCCCUGACAGUAAACAUUUUAGGGUUUGUAGGCCACAGCAUCUCUGUUGCAACUGUUCCACUCUGUGGAAGCAGACACAGACACUAUACACAUAAACGAGCGUGGCUGGCUGGGCACGGUAGCUCACAUGAGCCUGUAAUCCCAGCACUUUGGGAGGCCAAGGCUGGAGGCUGGCUUGAACCCAGGAGUUCAAGACCAGCCUAGGCAAAGUAGGAAGACCCCAUUUCUGCCAAAAAAAAAAAAAACAGCUGGGGUGUGGUGAUGCACCCCCAUAGUCCCAGCUACUUGGGAGGCUGAGGUGGGAGGACUGCUUGAGCCUGGGAGGUUGAGGCUGCAGUGAGCUGUGAUUGUGCCACUGUACUCCAGUCUGGGCGACAGAGUGAGAUCCUGCCUCAGAAAAUAAAAUAGAAAAUAAGUGUGGCUUAUUUUCCAAUAAAACUUUACUUACAGAAAAUAAAAUUGGAAUUUCAUGUUUUCUGAGGCACAAAAUACUAUUCUUCUGAUUUUUUCAACCACUUAAUAAUAUAAAAAUAUUUUUUUGCUCAUGGACCAUACAAAGCCAGCUGGCAGCCUGGAUUUGGCCUGCGGGGUGUAGUUGGUGGAGCUCUGAUUUGGAUCACUCAGGCAGAAUGAUAGCUGAAGCAGAGAAACUGUUUAGGAGGCUUUUGCAAAAGAAACCAUCAGAAGGGCAUGAAGGCUCGACUUGGGUAGCUGUGGUGAAGGUGAUGAGAGGAUUCAAGAUGUGCUUUGGGGCUGGGGCACAGGACACACUGACGUACAAGGCACGGGGGUGAGAGACAGCGGAGUCCAGGAUAAUUCAAUGAUGGUGCCAUUUACUGCAAAGGACUGCUGCAAAGGAGUAGGUGUGAAGGAAGCAGGAGCUGCAGCUGGACCAUAUUUUGAGUUGGUUUCAGUUUGCAUCUUGACGGACUUAACCAAGCUUGACUUGAAGUCCAGGGAGUAGGAUGUCUCCACACCUGGAUUUUUUCAGAGGCUGUUACUUACAAGCUGUGUGUGACCUCAGGCUUAUCAUUUUUGUUCAAUCUUUUUUGUCCUCUCAAUAAUGGAGAUAUUAUUUCUUGCUCAUCCCUUUCUAGAUAGUGAUGAGGAUCAAGUGAGAUUUAACUUGAACCUGAUCAAGAAUUCCCACCAGACCUGGCACUUCAGUACCCACCCCCUGCUUAUAACCAAAUCCAACUCCAAAUGGAUUGAUGGCUGAGUCUAGAUUUUGUGGGGGAAUUGUGGAGGCAUAUCACUCAUUGCACAGCAAAACUGGAAAUCCUCUUUCAACUUUUCUGUUCUUUCUGGGAAGUCUCUUUCUCUGCUCCAGGUGCCUCAAUGGUCUUGCCUCAUUUUUCCCACGCUCUUCUUAGUCUCUCACGUCACUCACUCAAAAACCCCUGAUUGGGGUUGAAGGAGGAGGAAGGGGCGUAUCCUGGUGAUGGUAGAACUGUUCUGUAUCUUAACUGUGGUGGUGGAUAUAAGAGCCUACACAUGUGAUAAUGUGCUGUGGACCUAAACACGCGUGCACGGUGAUAAUGUGCUGUGGACCUAAACACGCGUGCACGGUGAUAAAGUGCUGUGGACCUAAACACGCGUACACGGUGAUAAUGUGCUGUGGACCUAAACACGCGUGCACGGUGAUAAUGUGCUGUGGACCUAAACACAUGUGCACGGUGAUAAAGUGCUGUGGACCUAAACACGCGUGCAUGGUAAGAAAGUGGUGUGUACUUAAACACGCGUGCACACACAGGAACACGGAGAGUACAAGCGAAACUGGAAACUGGAGUAAGAUUGGUAGAUUGUUUCAAUGUAGCUUGCCUACAUUGAAAGAUACAUCUUGUAUCUGUGGUUUUGCAAGAUGUGACCAUUGGGGGAAGUGGAUAAAUGGC